GCCGAUAUGGUGUAAUGGUAUCACAGCGGCUUGCUAAGCCGUCCAACAGAAAUGUUGUACAGGUUCAAAUCCUGUUGUCGGCG
This 83-nucleotide transfer RNA is filed under the name Bacteriophage sp. RNAcentral's name for it is "tRNA-Ser". It matches the Rfam family "tRNA". From Rfam's summary of the family: Transfer RNA (tRNA) molecules are approximately 80 nucleotides in length. Their secondary structure includes four short double-helical elements and three loops (D, anti-codon, and T loops). The record is from RNAcentral.